AUUGAACGCUGGCGGCAGGCUUAACACAUGCAAGUCGAGCGGAGUGAUGGUGCUUGCACUAUCACUUAGCGGCGGACGGGUGAGUAAUGCUUAGGAAUCUGCCUAUUAGUGGGGGGACAACAUCUCGAAAGGGAUGCUAAUACCGCAUACGUCCUACGGGAGAAAGCAGGGGAUCACUUGUGACCUUGCGCUAAUAGAUGAGCCUAAGUCGGAUUAGCUAGUUGGUGGGGUAAAGGCCUACCAAGGCGACGAUCUGUAGCGGGUCUGAGAGGAUGAUCCGCCACACUGGGACUGAGACACGGCCCAGACUCCUACGGGAGGCAGCAGUGGGGAAUUUUGGACAAUGGGCGAAAGCCUGAUCCAGCAAUGCCGCGUGUGUGAAGAAGGGCUUAUGGUUGUAAAGCACUUUAAGCGAGGAGGAGGCUCUUUUGGUUAAUACCCAAGAUGAGUGGACGUUACUCGCAGAAUAAGCACCGGCUAACUCUGUGCCAGCAGCCGCAGUAA
Molecule: ribosomal RNA, 504 nt
Filed under: uncultured bacterium
Lineage: Bacteria
Description: partial 16S ribosomal RNA
Rfam family: Bacterial small subunit ribosomal RNA
Source: RNAcentral